AAAAAUAGAGUAAAUGUAUUUUUAAUAUUUAGUUCUUGCAAUAAAAUUGAGGUAAAUAAAUAGUCCUUGCAAUCACAUUAAGGUAAAAAAUAGAGUAAAUGUGUUUUUAAUAUUUAGUCCUUUCAAUAAAAUUAGUUAAAUAAAUAGUUUGCAUGUUAAAUUAGAGUGACAUGAACCCCACCCAUUGCUCAACUUAAUGCUAGAAUUAUGGAACAGGACAAAAAAGAUACACUAAAGACUACAAACGCUCCAUAGUGGAUUCACGGAGUCAAGAAUCCAAAAAUAAUGGUAAAACAGAUGAACUUCGAGCCCAC
This 314-nucleotide long non-coding RNA is filed under the name Setaria viridis. Its description in RNAcentral is "long non-coding RNA (SVIR_LNC003327)". The record is from RNAcentral. Lineage: Eukaryota; Viridiplantae; Streptophyta; Magnoliopsida; Poales; Poaceae.